This 347-nucleotide unclassified non-coding RNA is filed under the name Hevea brasiliensis (rubber tree). The record is from RNAcentral. Lineage: Eukaryota; Viridiplantae; Streptophyta; Magnoliopsida; Malpighiales; Euphorbiaceae.
CACACACACACACACACACAUAUGAUGUGUCAAAAGAGUUUGGUCGGUCUCCACAUGAAGUCCAAAACAUCAAGCUCUCAUAUUUAUCAAGGAUAAUGCUGAAGUUAUUAAGCAGUUCAUAUCACAAGCUGGCUUAUCUUUAACCUCUUUGACAUGGAAAGAAAUCCAACAAUAAUGAGAAUAGAACAUUUUGAGCAUGCAUUGAUGUGGUGGAAGGGGUGGGGGGAGGACUUAAAUAUGAUGACUGGAAUCUUAGACAACAUGUGUAUAAUCAGAUGCCAUGAUGAGGAAAUAUAUCCUUACUAAUAUAUCUUGGCCUAUCCAGGCAAAGGAGACAUUGCGAUAGA